This 1067-nucleotide ribosomal RNA is filed under the name Salmonella enterica. Its description in RNAcentral is "partial 23S ribosomal RNA". It matches the Rfam family "Bacterial large subunit ribosomal RNA", at positions 711 to 1770 of the family's 2925-position model. The record is from RNAcentral. Lineage: Bacteria; Pseudomonadati; Pseudomonadota; Gammaproteobacteria; Enterobacterales; Enterobacteriaceae.
AGACCCGAAACCCGGUGAUCUAGCCAUGGGCAGGUUGAAGGUUGGGUAACACUAACUGGAGGACCGAACCGACUAAUGUUGAAAAAUUAGCGGAUGACCUGUGGCUGGGGGUGAAAGGCCAAUCAAACCGGGAGAUAGCUGGUUCUCCCCGAAAGCUAUUUAGGUAGCGCCUCGUGAAUUCAUCUCCGGGGGUAGAGCACUGUUUCGGCUAGGGGGCCAUCCCGGCUUACCAACCCGAUGCAAACUGCGAAUACCGGAGAAUGUUAUCACGGGAGACACACGGCGGGUGCUAACGUCCGUCGUGAAGAGGGAAACAACCCAGACCGCCAGCUAAGGUCCCAAAGUCAUGGUUAAGUGGGAAACGAUGUGGGAAGGCCCAGACAGCCAGGAUGUUGGCUUAGAAGCAGCCAUCAUUUAAAGAAAGCGUAAUAGCUCACUGGUCGAGUCGGCCUGCGCGGAAGAUGUAACGGGGCUAAACCAUGCACCGAAGCUGCGGCAGCGACACUCAGGUGUUGUUGGGUAGGGGAGCGUUCUGUAAGCCUGUGAAGGUGUGUCGUGAGGCAUGCUGGAGGUAUCAGAAGUGCGAAUGCUGACAUAAGUAACGAUAAAGCGGGUGAAAAGCCCGCUCGCCGGAAGACCAAGGGUUCCUGUCCAACGUUAAUCGGGGCAGGGUGAGUCGACCCCUAAGGCGAGGCCGAAAGGCGUAGUCGAUGGGAAACGGGUUAAUAUUCCCGUACUUGGUGUUACUGCGAAGGGGGGACGGAGAAGGCUAUGUUGGCCGGGCGACGGUUGUCCCGGUUUAAGCGUGUAGGUGUGUGUUCCAGGUAAAUCCGGUUCACUUUAACACUGAGGCGUGAUGACGAGGCACUACGGUGCUGAAGCAACAAAUGCCCUGCUUCCAGGAAAAGCCUCUAAGCAUCAGGUAACAUCAAAUCGUACCCCAAACCGACACAGGUGGUCAGGUAGAGAAUACCAAGGCGCUUGAGAGAACUCGGGUGAAGGAACUAGGCAAAAUGGUGCCGUAACUUCGGGAGAAGGCACGCUGACAUGUAGGUGAAGUGAUUUAC